GUAACGGAAUGUAUCGAUUUUUUCCAAAAUGUACGUAUUGAUAUCGAUUGAUAAUCGUUUCCACAAGCGAAAUGGUGGAAACUAUUGGUGGAAAGAUUCAUGCCUUCAUUGAAAGUGUCAAGUAUGGCUGUGUCGUGUUAUCGUGUAUGUUCGUGAAUCGUGAUAACGGUGAAUCGUGAUAACGGUAUAACUAACUGAUAACUAAAUUUACAUGAGUUAACAUAGUUAUGCUUUCCAACUGAAGCACUUGACUUGAUCAAGCAGUUAACUGUCGAGUUUGCCUUGGAGGAUGUGACGUCUUUUGCUUCUGCCAGUCAUAUUACUUCUAAUCAUUUCAAGCAACAUGUUAUACCCAUCAUACCUCCACAUGAAAGGACUGCUCUUACAUCCCACGAAAGACUCCCCAGUUGGAGUGAACAAAACUCGAUUUAGGAAAUGAUAUCCAAUCAAUGAGGACAUCUCAAAGGAACAGAGAUUCAGGACUGGAUUAUAUCAUGCUCGCGAUCCGUAUGCUUUCGACCUUGAAGUUACUUAUAACAGCUUGGGAGUCGGUGGAACAAAAAUAAGAACGAGUACGAUUUACGAGAAUUCUCUAGACGGUCUUCACGACAUAUCUUCAUGACCCUGAUACAGCUACGUAGCCCGACGUGAGGUUAUGCCUGUCAAGUAAUCAAUGUCAUUUAAGCUCGACUCUAUCUUGGCCUUUUUCUUUUGACUUACGGUCGACAAUCAAAAAGGCGUGCCUUGUUUUUCGGAAAGAAUAGUAUGGACAGCGUGCCCUGGUCAGUUAAUAGAGCCUGGCGUCAUCCAACACUCGAUGCCAGCAGAAGAACGUUCCAUAGCUCCCCGGCCGAACUGCACUGGAGCGAGUCGACGAAGUAGCCAGCAUCCUUCUGAACUCAAUUCAAAGUCUUUUCGAUGUCCAACUUUGCUAAUGGCGGGUCCGCGAUUGCUGUCGCUUCUUGAUUAGAAUCAAACUUGCGGUUUCAAGGCGACCGAAAAGAAAUAACACUGGGCAGUGUUAAGCGAUAGAUGUUUUUUUCGUAACAACUUCUGGAGGCUUAUUGCAUUCUUCAAAGCCUUCUUUUGAUUUCUGUCAAAUCAAGAAGGGGGACCAUCGGCAUUCAGCUUUCUACGUUGGAAAUAUGUUCCGCCAGUUUUCUGUUUCUUCCGGCUCUCUACUACGGAUGUUUUUAUUCGAUGCUGGCGGUCAAUUCUUUCAACCCGGAACUUUCGUCGUUUAAUAACUCAACAUUGUCGUGGCGCAUUCACCCCGGGCAAGUUUGGAUGGCCAUUUUCUCGUCCAUGAUGCGUUUUAGAAGAUACAAAUCAUAAGCUUAACCUAAAUCAUAAGUUCCUUACGUUGAUAUUUUGCGAUGCUGUGUGGAUGAGUCAAAUGAAUACAUGUGUAUUUACGAAACUAAA
Molecule: long non-coding RNA, 1425 nt
Filed under: Daphnia pulex (common water flea)
Lineage: Eukaryota; Metazoa; Arthropoda; Branchiopoda; Diplostraca; Daphniidae
Description: uncharacterized LOC124200022, transcript variant X2
Source: RNAcentral